GAUGAACGCUGGCGGCGUGCCUAAUACAUGCAAGUCGAGCGAACGGACGAGAAGCUUGCUUUUCUGAUGUUAGCGGCGGACGGGUGAGUAACACGUGGAUAACCUACCUAUAAGACUGGGAUAACUUCGGGGAACCGGAGCUAAUACCGGAUAAUAUUUUGAACCGCAUGGUUCAAAAGUGAAAGACGGUCUUGCUGUCACUUAUAGAUGGAUCCGCGCUGCAUUAGCUAGUUGGUAAGGUAACGGCUUACCAAGGCAACGAUGCAUAGCCGACCUGAGAGGGUGAUCGGCCACACUGGAACUGAGACACGGUCCAGACUCCUACGGGAGGCAGCAGUAGGGAAUCUUCCGCAAUGGGCGAAAGCCUGACGGAGCAACGCCGCGUGAGUGAUGAAGGUCUUCGGAUCGUAAAACUCUGUUAUUAGGGAAGAACAUAUGUGUAAGUAACUGUGCACAUCUUGACGGUACCUAAUCAGAAAGCCACGGCUAACUACGUGCCAGCAGCCGCGGUAAUACGUAGGUGGCAAGCGUUAUCCGGAAUUAUUGGGCGUAAAGCGCGCGUAGGCGGUUUUUUAAGUCUGAUGUGAAAGCCCACGGCUCAACCGUGGAGGGUCAUUGGAAACUGGAAAACUUGAGUGCAGAAGAGGAAAGUGGAAUUCCAUGUGUAGCGGUGAAAUGCGCAGAGAUGUGGAGGAACACCAGUGGCGAAGGCGACUUUCUGGUCUGUAACUGACGCUGAUGUGCGAAAGCGUGGGGAUCAAACAGGAUUAGAUACCCUGGUAGUCCACGCCGUAAACGAUGAGUGCUAAGUGUUAGGGGGUUUCCGCCCCUUAGUGCUGCAGCUAACGCAUUAAGCACUCCGCCUGGGGAGUACGACCGCAAGGUUGAAACUCAAAGGAAUUGACGGGGGCCCGCACAAGCGGUGGAGCAUGUGGUUUAAUUCGAAGCAACGCGAAGAACCUUACCAAAUCUUGACAUCCUUUGACAACUCUAGAGAUAGAGCCUUCCCCUUCGGGGGACAAAGUGACAGGUGGUGCAUGGUUGUCGUCAGCUCGUGUCGUGAGAUGUUGGGUUAAGUCCCGCAACGAGCGCAACCCUUAAGCUUAGUUGCCAUCAUUAAGUUGGGCACUCUAAGUUGACUGCCGGUGACAAACCGGAGGAAGGUGGGGAUGACGUCAAAUCAUCAUGCCCCUUAUGAUUUGGGCUACACACGUGCUACAAUGGACAAUACAAAGGGCAGCGAAACCGCGAGGUCAAGCAAAUCCCAUAAAGUUGUUCUCAGUUCGGAUUGUAGUCUGCAACUCGACUACAUGAAGCUGGAAUCGCUAGUAAUCGUAGAUCAGCAUGCUACGGUGAAUACGUUCCCGGGUCU
Molecule: ribosomal RNA, 1372 nt
Filed under: uncultured bacterium
Lineage: Bacteria
Description: bacterial SSU rRNA
Rfam family: Bacterial small subunit ribosomal RNA
Source: RNAcentral